CUUAUCCUUAUGGAUACUAGUCAGGUUCUUAACCCACUGAGCCACAACAGUUAAAGAGAAUUUUAUUCCAAGUAGAGCAGCUGUCCUCUGUGGUUGAAAAUUCAGUGGAGAAUCCAAAGGUGCAAGUUGGUGGCUCUUUUCUAGUGACUGGAAAUGGAUGCUGUCAUUGUGAUCUAGGAGAGACAGGAUUUUUUUAGAUGACGUAAAAGUCAGAUGACAGUCUUGUCCUACAGGCAUGGCUACAAGGAGUGAGGCACAUCCCAGGCAAGAGAGCAGGCAUGGCCAGAUUAAAGCAUAGCCAGUGCCACCAGUUGAGAUGCUGAAACACAGAUUUUGAGUGACUCAGCAUCCCGGCUGGCUGAGGGGGUCGCAUGUUGUCCACGAGUUCUGAGCAUCCUGCACUGACUUAAAGGGCCUGAAGGGGGCGCGCUAAGCAGCACUCGCAGGCGAUGAAGCGCAUGCGUAUCCGCGUAUGGUCUUGGUGGGUGGUCUUCUGCGAGGUGGGAGAAAAGGGUUCCCUGGCAGUGUUGGGACACAGCGUGAUGGCUCCACGUCCGGAGGAAGCUGCUCCCCGCCUGCCCCAACCUGAGAUGCGGGGUGCACCGCCGCUCCUUCCUGCCUGACCUGCAUGGUUCCUUCUCUGCCUUCUCAGGCACGUAAGGGAAAAAAGCAUUGAUCACAAGCCUCCCCGCCUCUGACUAUGCCUCCAUUUCAAACUUGCCCUCAUCAAGAUCCACCUCAAAUGCUAUUUCCUGGAACUUUUCCCGAUUCUUCUGGCAGAGUGCUUUCGUCUCUGUGCCUACAGGACUUCGAUACACUUGUUGCUGGAGGUGUCAUGUUUCAAUUGGAAUCAGACACAAGUUUGUCUGGUUGUGCCUUUGAUUCCCAUUUCUACUGGAUUCUUGAGGGUCUCAGUUAUUUCUGUACCCACAAUGCUUGGCAUAAUGCCUAGUAGAGGACACUCAACAAAGAUCUGCUGAAUGAAUGAGGAAUAAGAUGUGAUGAAGGAGUUCCUGUCAUGGCUCAGUGGUUAAUGAAUCCGACUAGGAACCAUGAGGUUGCAGGUUCGAUCCCUGGCCUUGCUCAGUGAGUUAAGGAUCCAGCGUUGCUGUGAGCUGUGGUGUGGGUCACAGAUGCGGCUCGGAUCCCACGUUGCUGUGGCUCUGGCGUAGGCCAGUGGCUUCAGCUCCGAUUAGACCCCUAGCCUAGGAACCUCCAUAUGCCGCAGGAAUUGGCCCUAGAAAAGGCAAAAAAAAAAAAAAAAAAAAAAAAAAAAGAUGUGAUGAAAAAGUCACAGGCAGAAAAACAGCCCAGGUACUAUGAGAUUAUUACCAUAAGGUGUAGUGAUCACUACCAUCUCUUCAUAAGGAGAUGUAUAAAAAGGAGAUGUGAAGGAAAGAAUGGCUGAUUACAGUUAGAAGGGCUGAGGAUGGCUUCUCAAAAAUGACACAUGAAGCAGCUAGUGGUGAACUGAGAGCCAGCCAGAACUUAAGCCUGGCUAACCCUCCCACAGUAAGGUGGUGUCACACAUCAGAAGGGUGGUGGGGUCCAAUGGGGAAGCCUUGUGUGUCGUGCCUAGGAUUUUGAACUUGAGCCCCUAAUCAGCAGGAAGUCAUUCAGGGCUUUUAAAGUAGGAAGAGAAGUGAUGGGGUCUGAUGUUGAAAGAUGGCAUUGGAUAGAAAGCCAAAAAGACUAGGGAGGAAGAUGCCAGUUGAGACUCAGUCUUAGGGCGGAGACAGGAGGACCUAGACGAAAGCACAGGCUGAAGAGAAAGUUCGGUAGUUGAAUUCCCUCAUUCGAGACACACUACUAAGAUGGGGUACCAGUUCUUAGUGGAAGGCUGCUUAUGGGAGGGAAGAAAAGGAGGUGUUGAAUGGACAGACUCCCAGCCUGGGAGAUGGUGCCAGGCUAUGUCACCCCCAGAGACAAGAGGCACAGACUGUGGAGAGCCCUGGGGGAGGAAGACAGAACGCACACCUGUGGCGCCUACAGAACAUCCAAGGGAGCUGCCAGCUAGGAUGAUGAAGACAGAGGCCUGGAGCUGAAGGAAAAGUCGGUAUGGGGAGGCUCAGCCCAGCCUCCUCUCAGGCUAUGGAACCUGCUCUUCCUAGGAUGCGGCAAAAGCAUUCAAGAAAGACGGGUUAGAGACUGAUGUUUACUCAGAGACUGCAGGUGGCCUCAUAAAUAGAUCAUCAUGUACUUCACCUUGACUGCUUUGUGGUGGUGGAUGUGAAGGUGAAGCAACAUUCUCUCCUAUACACGCGUUUACCUGCCUUGUGUAGACACCUCAACCAAUGAGCUACGCAAUCCUAGUCCCACCGUGCCACAGACAUGUAGCACCACAAGAGAGAUGGCAACCGUCAGGAAAUAAAAAUGAUAUAUUUCCAUUUCCUGUAUGUUCAAGGACCAGUCCAUUAAGAAACCACAUGGAAGAAUAUGGGUUGCACUCCAGUAUGUCUUAAGGUAAAAAAAAAAACAUUUUCAUAUGCUAAACUUUGGAUUCUGUCUUGAAAUGAAAAUCAAUAGAUAAAUUGAGUUAAGUGGCAGUUUCUAAGACUCUACACUUUAAUUGGUAAAUAAGACAAAUCUCUUUGGAAAUGAGAAAGAGAUAUAUUCUAUCAGGUAUAUAAAAAAAAAGGCAAAUGGUAAAGGAGUUCACACUUCUUUCUGAAUGGGAAUAUUAAGCAUCUCGACCUGCAGAGCAACAGGAUGGAGAUGAGAAUUCAUACAUAAAAAUUUUAAAAGUAAAUGUUAAAAAAUGAUCCUACUUUCUCUUUUUCCCACUGAAAGUAUAGGUUUGCUUGCCCCUUCUGACCCCUAAUGUCCAAGGGACAAUUAGACUGCCACUCAAAUUCUGAAGGAUAAAUAUGUGAGAAGGAUGUGUUAAUUAACUAGUGGUGGGAGUCUUCAUGAUAUAUACAGGUAUCAACAACACAAUAUACACUUUAAAUAUCUUACAGUUUUGUUAAUUAUACCUCAGUAAAGCUUAAAAAAAAGAAAUCAGUGUUGCCAGGGGUUAAGAGGGGAGGGAGGGACAAAGGGGGGGACACAGGAUUUUUAAAGCAAUGAAAGUAUUGUGUGUGACACUGUAAUGAAGGAUACAUGUCAUUCUACAUUUGUCUAAACCCAUGAAACACACACCACUAAGAGUGAACCCCAAUGUAAAGCAUAAACUUUGGGUGAUAAGAUGUGUCCAUGUAGGUUCAUCGUGUGUAACCAAUGUUGAUGGUGGGGGAGGCUGUGUGUGUGGCAAGGGCAGGGGGUAAGUGGGAACUCUCUGUACCUUCUUCAUUUUCACGUAAACCUAAAACUGCUCUAAAAAAUAAAAUCCAUGCUUGGAAAAAAUUACUACUUAUACUUUUUUUAAGAGAAAGUUCUAAAGGAGGCUGAACUUCCCUCCAAGAAAUGCCAUUUCCCUUCUAUUGUCCAAUAAACAGGGGGCUGGCAGUUGGGAGGGUAUAAAUUAAUUUGCUGCCUUUAGACUGAAUUGGACCAGGGAUAACAAGUGUGCAUAUGAAUUUCUUUAAAACUCACAAAUUGUUUAAUACCAACACCAGCAAAACUGAUAGGGAUGGAGUAGGCAUGGGUAGUUGUAGAAGUCCCAAUAAAGGAUCAUAGAUAGGGAAAUCUAGGGGAUGCUGGGAGAUCACUGUAAGUUAAUAACUGCUCAGGGAGUUCCUGUCAUGGCUCAGCAGUUAACGAACCCGACUAGCAUCCAUGAGGACGCGGGUUCGAUCCCUGGCCUUGCUCAGUGGGUUAAGGAUCCGGCGUUGCCGUGAGCUGGUCCCAGACUCAGCUUGGAUCUCAAGUUGCUGUGGCUCUGGUGUAGACCAGUAGCUGUAGCUCCAGUUUGACCCUUAGCCUGGGAACUCCACAUGCCAUGGGUGUGGCUCUAAAAGCCAAAAAUCCAAAAAAUAAAAAAAGUAACUGCUGAAGAAGGCCAUCAGAAUGAGGCAGGCUUGCUUGACUAGUGAAGGCAGGAGACUUUGGGUGGGGAAUGGGAUGAGGCCUACAUUCAGAUUCAGACCAAGGGUAGGAGUUGAGGACCACCCUUCUGCUGAUUUGAAUACACAUCUUACUGGACACGGAUACUAAGGAGGAGCUUCCGACCCCCACUUCCCUUGGAUAAUAAAACUGUAGCCCACAGGAUCCUGGGGGCAGAGCCUCCUUGCCUGCCAGCUUUUAUCUCUCACAAGCUUCCUAUCUUAAUAAAUCUAUUUCUUGCCUAUCACUGUGUCUCUAGCUGAACUCCUUCUGUGUGGAGGAAUGAAGAACCUGAACCUCAGUGAGUCUAGACAUCAGGUGAGUGAUUCUAAUUUAAAACUGUGGGUUCAAGUCCCCGUCUAUGUUCUGGCUAGUUUCAGGCCGUUAGUGCUGUCAGUUUUAAAACCAUCCCUGAAAGUGGCACUAAAAAUAAUUACUGUUAGCACAGAACUAGGUGUUAUAUUAAGCAUAGGUAACCUUAGAUGGGCAUGAAAUUUCUCUUUAGAAUGAUGAAAAUGUUCUGAAAUGAGACUGUGGUGACAGUAGCACAGCUAUGUGAAUAUAGGAAGAAUCAUCAUUGAAUGAGCAAGGUUUUUUUAAAAAAAUGUACGAGGCGAAUCUAUAUCCUUAAGGAAGUCAUAAUCUUUCAGAGCAACCCAACAAAUCUGCUACCAGAUGAAUUUUCAUCUCAUCUCAAAAGCAAAUAUCCUUGAAAAUCAGCUCAGGAUAGCCAAGGUAUGGAAAUGACUCAUAUUUCUAUCUGAUAAUCAGAAAAGGGGCUGAGAAGUCACUCAGCUGCUAAGUUUCUCUCUGGAGGGUGAGAUGCUAAAGGACAAGGAUUUCAUUCAAUUCACGUAACCUCUUCCCAAUGGAAUGCUGAGGGACUUCACCAUCCAAGGUGAAUUAUGAGAGGAAGUCACGGCUUUGUUUUGUUUUUAAAUCACUGUUUACCUUUACUCUCUCGCUCUCUCUAGGGGAAUAAAAACACCUUGAAAUUUUUUUUUAAAUGAGAAAUAGAAAAGCUUGGAAUUCACAAGGAAGAUCCAAUCAAGUAAGAGUCAUAAUGGUUUUUACUUAAAAAAUGCAUAGUAGUAGCACCAUUAUUUUACAUGUGGUCAAAGGCAGACGCUAAUGACAUGUCUCAGUUGACCUCUCAACGGGUCAAAGAAGAGCUUGGAAUGCCUUUUUAGAAACACCUGUAAGAUCUAGGUCAAUGACCUAAAAGUAGGGUGAUAAUAUUGGUUUACCUGGUUGACGCCUAUCAUCCUGGUAUAAUUAUUUAAGAUAAUUAAUAAUUAAGAAUAAUGAUAUGAAAAUGAGGCUCACUGGCCAGCAAGGUCACCCUGGAAGCCACAGAGGGGAUCUCAGCAGAACAGGCACCCACAUGUGACAGUUAUCCGCAUGACUCGUUUUCUUAAUGGCUAGAGCCUGGCCCUGGAAAUUCUAAUACACAUGCCUGAUCAAGAAAGCCUGAUCCUGACCAUUGACCUGCACUUUAGGGGAUGAGAGAGGAGUAAAAUAUCACUCUCCAGUGAUCUGCCUAAGUUAACUGAAGCAGGAGUUGCAAAGCCAGGGCAAUAGCUCUAGUCUCCAAAUUUCUACUGCCUACCGAAACUCCAAAACUAACUCUCAGGAACUCUCAGGCUCAGGCCCAAGCUGUGUUGACCUAAUGACCACCUCCUGGGACAGCUUUCCUCAUCAGCCUGCAAGUCUCCCACUUCCCAUACACCGCCAUCUACUUGUACAUUAGAGCUUCCACUGGGCUGUGCAGGGCCUGGAUUAUGUUUUCAUUUUAUUCUCAACAAUACUCCUUCAUUUAGAAUUGAGACUUGCCCUUUAAACCUGCCAUCCAUUGUAGGAGACCAUUGUUUAAAAAUCCAUUUCAAAGUGAAACUACUCACAGCUAGGUCAAAAGUAGUUCAACCCCUAAAGGGAUGCCCUCCAGCAUCUAGAUGUCCCAGGCCAUGAGGCUCUGAUUAUGCAAGACCUUACACUACUUGUUCAUUUUAGGUAUGAUAAACUGGGAGAGAGAGGAAGUGAGAGCAUUUCUGCAGGUUGGUAGAAAUGUCCCUCUGUGGCAGCACAACAAAAAGCCCAUAAGCAAACACUGAUAACACUGGCUCAGCAUCACUGUGCUUUCUUGUGCAAAUGGGUAUUUUAACUCCUACCUCUAUCUCACUUCUUAAAUGCCAUGCAGCUGUGGCAAAACAAGAGGUUACCAUCUCUCCUGGCUGAGGAACAUCUGUACCCAUGCAGAGCCUACUGAACAACUGUUUCCCUCCAUUCCAGAUCCUGCUGUUUCUAAGAAAUUCCCUGGUAGCACAGUGAGUUAAAGAUCCAGCUCUGGUUGUGGCUCUGGUUACAGCUGUGGUGCAGGUUUGAUCCCUGGCCUGGGAACUUCUGCGUGCUGUGGGCUCAGCCAAAAAAAAAAAAAAAAAAAAAGAAAAGAAAAGAAAGAAAAAUCACUGACAGACCCUGCUGUUUCUGUAACAGUCCCUUUAUCCUUAGUCUGUGCGUGUCUGAAAGAAAGAGACCCAUGUACCACCAUUCAAAGAACGGGAACAUUUCUGUUGUUCAGGACAGGGGGAUGUUCUGGUUCAUGUGAAGUUACUAUGUAAUCCUAAGAAGCACUUCAAGGUCUCACAGUGUCACAAGGGUCAUAUUAGUGAUGAAUUAUACUAAGUGCACGUAACCUUAAAAAGCAUUCUCAAUAGAAGAGCAUUAGAUAAGAGUCUCCCUUGGGUGUUUAGUGAUGUUUCCCAGCAAAGAUGGAUUAGGGAUGUUCUGUCUAAUGACCCAGCUUGGAGAGGAGGGGCAGCAGCUAAUGAAUGAAAAAGCCCCUGUAGUCCCCCGACCCUGCAGAGAGCACACCAAGGGCAGGAAAGCUGACACGUGGAGGAAUAGAGACAGGAGUUCCUAUCACACACACCUCUCAGGAAUGCAGCCUGAUAGCAAGUUUCCCAAGAUGCCAGGACAGGUCACUAUUCUCAAAUGUGAACUUCUAUGUGCACAUUACUUUAAAAAACCUCCCUAUAAAAAGCUUAGACAUUUAAAAAACAAAACAAAAGAAAAAAAAAUCAUUCUGUGUGGUCAACUAGGAAGAAAACCAGAAGUUUCUUGCACAAAUAUGUCGUGGAUGUCAUCCAGGUAAAAAGAGCUCCAAGAAGACCAGGGGCUGCUACUUUUCAAGAUUUGCAAUAAAAAGGUAUUUCGUCUCAGUCUAAAAGUGGCCUCUUUAGUUCUUAACACUACAGGGAAAAAAAACCAAACAGAUGAGUUUUACCUCAAUUUUUCAUCUGAAUUUAACACUAAGUUAACACUCUAUCCAAAAGUUAGUUCACAUGUAUACAUUCUGUGUCUUUAAGCCCAUUUUGGAGAAGGUGGGAGCAAACUACACAGCCUCUGAUUAUCAAGGAUUGAUAGAGAAUCAGAGACCCAGAGGAAAAAAGGAUCCACUACACAUUUCCUGCCAGCUUUUCUUAUUUAAUGAGCCCUCACUUUUUCCUGAAGCA
Molecule: non-coding RNA, 7496 nt
Organism: Sus scrofa (pig)
Lineage: Eukaryota; Metazoa; Chordata; Mammalia; Artiodactyla; Suidae
Source: RefSeq, a predicted model, not a curated record